Molecule: non-coding RNA, 24 nt
Filed under: Arabidopsis thaliana (thale cress)
Lineage: Eukaryota; Viridiplantae; Streptophyta; Magnoliopsida; Brassicales; Brassicaceae
Source: RNAcentral
UCCUUGUGGUGGACGCAUCCUUGA